CUUAAAUAAUUUAAAUAAAAUAUUGAUUUGUGGUGUCAAAAAUGUGAGAUAUAUUCAUUUUAGGUU
Molecule: transfer RNA, 66 nt
Filed under: Junonia intermedia
Lineage: Eukaryota; Metazoa; Arthropoda; Insecta; Lepidoptera; Nymphalidae
Description: tRNA-His
Source: RNAcentral